UUAGGGCACGACACCGGAGAGGGAGCCUGAGAAACGGCUACCACAUCCAAGGAAGGCAGCAGGCGCGCAAAUUACCCAAUCCCGACAUGGGGAGGUAGUGACAAUAAAUAACAAUACAGGGUUCUUUUGGAUCUUGUAAUUGGAAUGAGUACAAUUUAAAUCUCUUAACGAGGAACAAUUGGAGGGCAAGUCUGGUGCCAGCAGCCGCGGUAAUUCCAGCUCCAAUAGCGUAUAUUAAAGUUGUUGCAGUUAAAAAGCUCGUAGUUGAAUUUCGGGAUCAAGGAAUCGGUCAUGCCUUGGUAUGUACUGGUUUUAUUGGUUCUCACCUUCUAAAGAACCAUAAUGUCAUUUAUUUGAUGUUAUGGGGAAUUAGGACUGUUACCUUGAAAAAAUUAGAGUGUUUAAAGCAAGCUUACGCUUGAAUACAUUAGCAUGGAAUAAUGAAAUAGGACAUCAGAUUCUAUUUUGUUGGUUUCUAGGAUCGAUGUAAUGAUUAAUAGGGAUAGUUGGGGGCAUUAGUAUUCAAUUGUCAGAGGUGAAAUUCUUGGAUUUAUUGAAGACUAACUACUGCGAAAGCAUUUGCCAAGGAUGUUUUCAUUAAUCAAGAACGAAAGUUAGGGGAUCGAAGACGAUCAGAUACCGUCGUAGUCUUAACCAUAAACUAUGCCGACUAGGGAUCGGAUGAUGUUAAUUUUUUAAUGACUCAUUCGGCACCUUACG
This 720-nucleotide ribosomal RNA is filed under the name Septoglomus constrictum. Its description in RNAcentral is "SSU rRNA". It matches the Rfam family "Eukaryotic small subunit ribosomal RNA", at positions 370 to 1092 of the family's 1831-position model. The record is from RNAcentral. Lineage: Eukaryota; Fungi; Glomeromycota; Glomeromycetes; Glomerales; Glomeraceae.